This 435-nucleotide ribosomal RNA is filed under the name uncultured Anaerobacterium sp. RNAcentral's name for it is "partial 16S ribosomal RNA". It matches the Rfam family "Bacterial small subunit ribosomal RNA", at positions 341 to 792 of the family's 1533-position model. The record is from RNAcentral. Lineage: Bacteria; Bacillati; Bacillota; Clostridia; Eubacteriales; Oscillospiraceae.
ACUGAAGGCAGCAGUCGGGAAUAUUGCGCAAUGGAGGAAACUCUGACGCAGUGACGCCGCGUAUAGGAAGAAGGUUUUCGGAUUGUAAACUAUUUUAGACAGGGAAGAAAAAAGACAGUACCUGUAGAAUAAGCUCCGGCUAACUACGUGCCAGCAGCCGCGGUAAUACGUAGGGAGCAAGCGUUAUCCGGAUUUAUUGGGUGUAAAGGGUGCGUAGACGGGAAUUUAAGUUAGUUGUGAAAUCCCUCGGCUCAACUGAGGAACUGCAACUAAAACUGGAUUUCUUGAGUGCGGGAGAGGAAAGCGGAAUUCCUAGUGUAGCGGUGAAAUGCGUAGAUAUUAGGAGGAACACCAGUGGCGAGGGCGGCUUUCUGGACGAUAACUGACGUUGAGGCUCGAAAGCGUGGGGAGCAAACAGGAUUAGAUACCCUGGUA